GAGCCAGCCAAUUAAUCUGCUUAUCUCAAUGUGCUUCUGCAGAUAUUUAGAAAAGGCGGGCAAUAGUGACGCCAUGUUACGAGCCUUAAGGACAGCUGAAGUCCUUAAGGUCCCUGAAAAUGGCUACAGUA
Microtus ochrogaster (prairie vole) is the source of this 131-nucleotide small nucleolar RNA. Ensembl annotates it as small nucleolar RNA, H/ACA box 33. Its record names the gene Snora33. The record is from Ensembl. Lineage: Eukaryota; Metazoa; Chordata; Mammalia; Rodentia; Cricetidae.